GGCCUCGUAGCUCAGUUGGUUAGAGCGUUGUUUGCACUAAAGCCUCCCCCUUGCUGUCGUGGAUUCGAAUCCCACCGAGGGCG
Molecule: transfer RNA, 83 nt
Filed under: Schistocephalus solidus
Lineage: Eukaryota; Metazoa; Platyhelminthes; Cestoda; Diphyllobothriidea; Diphyllobothriidae
Rfam family: tRNA
About the family: Transfer RNA (tRNA) molecules are approximately 80 nucleotides in length.
Source: Rfam by way of RNAcentral